GACGAACGCUGGCGGCGUGCUUAACACAUGCAAGUCGAACGGAAAGGCCCUGCCUGCCGGGUACUCGAGUGGCGAACGGGUGAGUAACACGUGGGUGAUCUGCCCUGCACUUCGGGAUAAGCCUGGGAAACUGGGUCUAAUACCGGAUAGGAGCCAUUUUUAGUGUGAUGGUUGGAAAGUUUUUUCGGUGUAGGAUGAGCUCGCGGCCUAUCAGCUUGUUGGUGGGGUAAUGGCCUACCAAGGCGGCGACGGGUAGCCGGCCUGAGAGGGUGGACGGCCACAUUGGGACUGAGAUACGGCCCAGACUCCUACGGGAGGCAGCAGUGGGGAAUAUUGCACAAUGGGCGCAAGCCUGAUGCAGCGACGCCGCGUGGGGGAUGACGGCCUUCGGGUUGUAAACUCCUUUCGCUAGGGACGAAGCUUUUUGUGACGGUACCUAGAUAAGAAGCACCGGCUAACUACGUG
Molecule: ribosomal RNA, 465 nt
Filed under: uncultured bacterium
Lineage: Bacteria
Description: partial 16S ribosomal RNA
Rfam family: Bacterial small subunit ribosomal RNA
Source: RNAcentral